This 3386-nucleotide long non-coding RNA is filed under the name Nicotiana tabacum (common tobacco). Its description in RNAcentral is "long non-coding RNA (NTAB_LNC019636)". The record is from RNAcentral. Lineage: Eukaryota; Viridiplantae; Streptophyta; Magnoliopsida; Solanales; Solanaceae.
UCCCAAACACAAUACCCAAUCUCCCUACCCAAACCCGCUUGACCCGUUUUUCCCCUCCCUUUUCAUUUAAAGACCUAGACCUAAAUACACAGAUCUUGGAUCCCAAGCAACAGAGGGCGCCGCUGCUCAGCUUCUUCUUCUUCACAUAAAAACACACACACAUUGGAGAUUGGAGGGCGGCCUCCCAUCUGCUUCGACACCAACAAAAAGCAUGUCAUCUCCUCCCCUAUUUGAAUUUCUCUAAAGAACAGAGAACAAAUCGAACCCCCUUCCAUCUCCGAACCAAAAAAAACCAGUAGCAGUACCCUUGUUCGUCCACCCCUUGAACCUGAAAUCGACCCCCAAAACCACCAGCCUCAACGCUCCGUUUCCACCCAAAAACCCGCCGGAACGGACUACCCCCAAAACGCAUGAAAUCAGUCCCAAACAUUGCAGCAAACCAGCUGCGAAAAUAGCAGAAACGCGGCUGUAAAUCAGCACAAAAGCGCUCAAGAACAGUCCAAUGUCACGUCUGUUCCGUUUCUUCUCUUCGAUUUUGAUUUUUUGCUUCAUAAUGGACUUGAGUUUUGACAGAAUUUGAGAUGUUCAGGUUUGAUAUUGGCGAGAGCUUUUUGUGAGCUUUGUUUUUUCUUUAUGGGUUAAAGUCGAGUUCAUAGCUGUCUUGCUGAGUUCGAAUCUGUUGCGGCUGAGUUUUCAUCCUUGUUGUUUUUCAUAUACUGGCCCUUAUUUGGUUCACCCUCCUUGUUUGCCUUAGUUGAGAGGUACACAACUGUAAACUUACACUUUUCUGGUUGAAUUAAUUGAAAUUGGCUCAUGUUCAUUCCCUACUCCUUCUAUUUUCUUUUACGAUCUUGAUGAAUUGGACAGUGCUAAUUUGUUUAUGAAAGAGUGGCUGGGAUCCACAUAUGUUAAUGCUGAGUUUGUAGUUGUUUUGUUGUCUAAAUUGUUGAUAAGCAUUCUUCAUAUCCAUGACCAUAAACUAAUGAUUAUACUGAUUUUGGAAAGUUGGUUCAGUGUUUUAUUGAUGGGUCGCCGUAUAGUUGCUUUGUAAAAUCAAAUGCUGUCGUGUGGUUUAAAAUAGUCGUGAUUCAAGCUUGUUUGUAAUUGUUAUUUUACACGGUCGUGUAGUAACUCUUCGGACGAUGAAUUUGCUACAGGGUUGUUUCUAUUACCAACUCAGACAAUAGUUGAAUCUUGAAUUUCAUUGUAUCAUAUUCCUAUAUAUUAUUUGUCCGAAUGUGGGCCACUUGGAGUAACGAAUCCUAAUUUGAAUUUUUGUUUUCCUUUGAGACUAAGGUUUGCUUUAUGGUAAGGGGAUUUGUAAUAGUAACUGUACCAGUUGGUAUGGCAAGAAUUGGUAGAAGAAUUUGUGAAAUUAGAAGUGAGAAGAAGUAAUAUUGGUAAAAUGGCGUUUGUUUUUUGACUGCUAAUGUUUCUGAUUGUUGACUUCAAGAAUGAGCUAUUUCUUAGCUUUUGUACUUCUCUAUAGACCAUCGAACAUUUAUGGGAAGUUUGGUAUUAUAUUUUGAGAUUUCCUCUUGUAAUAUUUCUUGUAUCCCUCUUGAUUGCAUGGAUAAUUUUGGGUGCUCUUUUAUGUGCAUUUAAAUCUUGGAGAGAUGAAGUUGUUUACGACAGGCAUUGCCUUGAAUUUUAAUUGUCUCAUACGCUUGUGUUGAUCAUUUUGCCUUAGCCGAUUAGCAUGUUAAAAUAAUAAUUUGAGGCGUGCCAUGCCAAACAAAAUCCCAAAACUCAUGGUCCUCAAUUAAGUUUAACUCUUUAGAAAUCGAGGUGUGCCAUUAGUGAAUUUUCCAUGGCCCUCGCAAACUUGAAAGUGCGUAGUUGCUUUAGGCGCACAAUUUAAAUUAAUUUCCUUAAACUCGGAUGUGCAUUUCAUGUGACCCAAAUCCAAAUCUCAACAACGUUAAAUAAAAUGUAUCGUGGACCGCGGGUGCAUUUUAUGUGACGUGGUUCAAGGUGUGUUUUAAAUAAUGUUGAAUCUUCCUAAUAAUUAAUUAAAGCGGUGACAAGAACCCAGAACUUCUGAUUCAGGGUUCAGAAUUCGAGCUUAGAUGAAUUGUUAUAUUUGACUUUAUUUAUUAUUUGGUGUUAUUCACAUAUUUGGACCUAAUGUGCUAAAUGUUGCUUUUACCGCUUUGAUAUUAUUGAGCUGUAUAUAAACUGCUACGAAACCCUUCUUCUCUCUAAGUCUUCUAAAUCAUUUGGGGAGUGUGCCUCGUGUGACUUCUCUUCUGUUAGAGUCAUUCCAAUUUUAGAACGAGGUUCGGACAAGUUGCAAAGCCGAUAAAGCUUCUGUAUUUCCGGUACGCUGCCCCCCCCCCCCCCGGCUCGAGCAGUCUGCUCGGGUAAUCCAGGUCUAGAACAAAUAAAACCCAGGUUUUUAAACCUAGAAUAACUCAACCUUAUGCUGGAUCCCUAGUAGGAACGUUUGUUUGCAUCAUGUUCACUUGACUUAGGGGACUUAACAUAGGGGUUGGUCCGUCUAGGACAAGUGUACCCAUGAGAAAGGAAAGAGGUUGAAGUAUAAAAAUGAAGCAAGUGGGGCCUAGUUAUAAUUUUCUUGCACGCCUUUUUCAAAAAAACAAAAAAAAAUUGAAAAUGAAAAAUGAAAAUCCAAAAAAAGAGAGUUUGCACUUUCCCCUUCAUUUUUUUCCAAAAAAAAAAAUCAAUCAAAAAAAAAGAGGAAAAGAAAAUCCAAAAAGAUAUUACAUGUUUAUUUUUCAAGAAAAAGCAAAAAAAAAUAUGUGUUUUCUCUAAAUUAGUUAUUUUUUUUAAUUCUCGCCCGUAUCCAAUCUGCCCAAACUACGCAUACUUGAUUUUUGUCUUUCGGGGCGUGAUACGUAGGCAACUCACAUAGGGUCCGGUCUUCCUAGUAAAUCUUAGGUUCUUGGCUUCGCAGGGUCGUAGCCAAAUCUUGCAUGUUUAGCCACUUUUUGCCACAUAGAUUAAUUUUUUAAAAAUAGUCACAACCACAUGUGUCUAGUAGGGAAUGUUAUUGUCUCACAUAGUGUUGGUCUCAGUUUUCUCAUAUAGGUGUGGAUCUACUUACCGGAGUUUGAGCAUGACAGAUACCCCAGGACCAUCCAGUCAGGAUCGCUCAUCUUGGAAUUGCUUAAGGAGAUUUUAUUUUGUUGAGACUAUUUUUAUUUUAUGUCAUCUUUUACCUUCUAGUUUUGUCCAGUAAUGUCGAGUCUUUUGUUAUAGUUUCCUAUUUUGUAUUUGAAAAAAAAAAAGUGUAAUAAAUCAAAAACUCAAAAAAAAAGAAGAGAUUUUGCAUUUUUAUAUUUCUGUUAGAUGUUUUCUUUAGAAUACUAACUCUAGAAGUUCAAAAAUCUUUUGAGGUUUUUCAUUUAGGAAAUUAAUAUCUG